GUAAACCUUGAUGAUAAACUACAAAUAUCAUCCGCCAGGGAACUACAAGCGUAUCGCUCGAAACCCAACGGACUUGGCGGUGCCCCACACCCACCUAGAGGAGCCUGUUCUAUAACUGACAAUCCCCGUUCAACCUCACCACUCCUAGCCCCUUCAGUCUAUAUACCACCGUCGUAAGCUCACCCUGUGAAGGAUUAACAGUAAGCAAGAUGGGCACAACCCAAAACGUCAGGUCGAGGUGUAGCAUAUGGAGUGGGAAGAAAUGGGCUACAUUUUCUAUCUACAGAACAUUACGGACGACGUCAUGAAACCUGCCGUCCAAAGGAGGAUUUAGCAGUAAAAAGAAAACAGAGAGUUCUUUUGAAGCCG
Molecule: ribosomal RNA, 369 nt
Filed under: Brevimyrus niger
Lineage: Eukaryota; Metazoa; Chordata; Actinopteri; Osteoglossiformes; Mormyridae
Description: partial 12S rRNA
Rfam family: Bacterial small subunit ribosomal RNA
Source: RNAcentral